Molecule: long non-coding RNA, 1603 nt
Organism: Cyanistes caeruleus (blue tit)
Lineage: Eukaryota; Metazoa; Chordata; Aves; Passeriformes; Paridae
Source: RefSeq, a predicted model, not a curated record
UUCAUUAUAUAGGAUUUUCCUCUCUUUUCAAAAGAGUUGUGAUGUUUAGUAGAGACCUAGAAAAUUAUCAAUGGGAAGGGACAGGAUUUCACUGUAUAUUACAUUACUUGUCAGAAACACAGCAACAGAAGUGGUUUGGCAGUGUUUUCUUCCAUAAAAAUCAUUGCAAAUGUAUCAGGCCAAAGAGAUAACUGAUACUCUGGCCUCAAGCUUUUUGUUCUUGUGGGGUUUUUUACUGUAAGGCUCAUUGUAAACAAAUAAAUAGCUCAUAUAGAUGCCACAAAUGCUUACUAUUUUUAGACCAAGGAUCAUGUUAAGUGCUAUAUAUUGUCUUUGGUAUGUGGUAGAGCUAAAUUUGAUUAACCUGCUCUUACUACAGGCCUCUCUCAUUUAUAUAUCUGUUGAUUCCACCUCUAGCAGAAAAAGUCUUUCAUAGGACUUGCAGCUGUCUGCUGUACCUCCAUCCUAGGAAAGAGGGAUGCUUCACCAAGGCAGUAUGACUCAAAAUGUUACCUUGCCAGCAGGUUUGUUUGCCCAGGUCCGUUUUUACUGCUUCGCUUACCCUGCUGUGGGUCAAGCAGCCCUGGAGGGAUUGUUUCUCUCAGCACAUCUCCUCUGUCAGACCCAGGCACUGUGCUUCCCCGGGACAGCAGCCCUGUUCACAGGCUCGGGGCUCCAGAGCAGAGCGCUCACCCGGGCAGGGGGGUGUGUUGCCACGGGGCUGCUCCACUGCACUGCUGCCACGUCUCUGCGUGGUGUGACGUGAGCUGCUCUUCACAGCAUCCUCCUCCCAGCAGGGAUGCAUGGAGAGCCUCACACUGCACAGCCCCUGUGCAGCCUCAGCAUCCUCCUCCCAGCAGGGAUGCAUGGAGAGCCUCACACUGCACAGCCCCUGUGCAGCCUCAGCAUCCUCCUCCCAGCAGGGAUGCAUGGAGAGCCUCACACUGCACAGCCCCUGUGCAGCCUCAGCCCAGCCACAAGGAAGGAAACCAGAGACAGUGACUGCAGCACUCACACACAAAGGCAAAUAAUGUCAAGCUAGUAGGCAGUUGUUUGUUUACCUGUUUAUUCUAAAUGUGCCAGAGAGGAUGUCAAAUUUAAAUCCAAGGCAUAUCACUGUAACCUAAGCAACUGUAACCAUUACAGACACUUCACACUUGAAUAGUUUCCCUACCUUAAAUUUCUCCUUCAUUUUUCUAGUUCCAAUUUCCUGGAGGGGAGAGAGGGAAGAGCAGAAUUUUGGAAUGAAUUUUAAGUGGAAUUUAACACUUAGCAGAUUUCUGGAAACCUGGAUGGUCAGCUCUUGUUGCAGAUGCCCCAGAGCACUCCAAGGAGUCCCUCAGAUUCAAGAUCCGAAUACAGCAUUAGGGAACAUCUCUGAUGUGAGCAGUCACCAGGAAAAGGACAGAGGCUUUGUUUUCUAUACAUGAACACAAAUUGGACUGAGUCUUUUCGAAGAUUUGGAUAUACUUCGUCAGUGUUGGCAGCUCAGAUUUUGCAAGAUCAUGCCACUGCAUAAGAAGCAGCAAGUGGAAUGUGGAGAUAAAAGCAACCAUUUUCUAUCAAAGAAAAGUUGCAUUCUUUCUGUAAAGAAAUAACUUGA